AUUGUCCACUACCUGCAGCUGAUGAACCUCAAAAAAGAGCAAAACUCCCUAGGUCCUGUAGUAGUGGCCAGUAAGUGU
Molecule: non-coding RNA, 78 nt
Filed under: Merops nubicus (carmine bee-eater)
Lineage: Eukaryota; Metazoa; Chordata; Aves; Coraciiformes; Meropidae
Source: RNAcentral